AAGCAGUCGAAGUAGCACAGAGAGCUUGCUCUCGGGUGACGAGUGGCGGACGGGUGAGUAAUGUCUGGGAAACUGCCUGAUGGAGGGGGAUAACUACUGGAAACGGUAGCUAAUACCGCAUAACGUCGCAAGACCAAAGAGGGGGACCUUCGGGCCUCUUGCCAUCAGAUGUGCCCAGAUGGGAUUAGCUAGUAGGUGGGGUAACGGCUCACCUAGGCGACGAUCCCUAGCUGGUCUGAGAGGAUGACCAGCCACACUGGAACUGAGACACGGUCCAGACUCCUACGGGAGGCAGCAGUGGGGAAUAUUGCACAAUGGGCGCAAGCCUGAUGCAGCCAUGCCGCGUGUAUGAAGAAGGCCUUCGGGUUGUAAAGUACUUUCAGCGGGGAGGAAGGUGUUGAGGUUAAUAACCUCAGCAAUUGACGUUACCCGCAGAAGAAGCACCGGCUAACUCCGUGCCAGCAGCCGCGGUAAUACGGAGGGUGCAAGCGUUAAUCGGAAUUACUGGGCGUAAAGCGCACGCAGGCGGUCUGUCAAGUCGGAUGUGAAAUCCCCGGGCUCAACCUGGGAACUGCAUUCGAAACUGGCAGGCUAGAGUCUUGUAGAGGGGGGUAGAAUUCCAGGUGUAGCGGUGAAAUGCGUAGAGAUCUGGAGGAAUACCGGUGGCGAAGGCGGCCCCCUGGACAAAGACUGACGCUCAGGUGCGAAAGCGUGGGGAGCAAACAGGAUUACAUACCCUGGUAGUCCACGCCGUAAACGAUGUCGACUUGGAGGUUGUGCCCUUGACGCGUGGCUUCCGGGAGCUAACGCGUUAAGUCGACCGCCUGGGGAGUACGGCCGCAAGGUUAAAAUCAACUGAAUUGACCGGGGGCCCGCACAACGGUGGAGCAUGUGGUUUACUGGG
This 904-nucleotide ribosomal RNA is filed under the name Enterobacter sp. Ka1. RNAcentral's name for it is "bacterial SSU rRNA". It matches the Rfam family "Bacterial small subunit ribosomal RNA", at positions 55 to 953 of the family's 1533-position model. Lineage: Bacteria; Pseudomonadati; Pseudomonadota; Gammaproteobacteria; Enterobacterales; Enterobacteriaceae. The record is from RNAcentral.